RNAcentral lists this ribosomal RNA (104 nucleotides) under Boletopsis leucomelaena. RNAcentral's name for it is "partial 5.8S ribosomal RNA". It matches the Rfam family "5.8S ribosomal RNA", at positions 1 to 103 of the family's 154-position model. From Rfam's summary of the family: 5.8S ribosomal RNA (5.8S rRNA) is a component of the large subunit of the eukaryotic ribosome. The record is from RNAcentral. Lineage: Eukaryota; Fungi; Basidiomycota; Agaricomycetes; Thelephorales; Thelephoraceae.
UACAACUUUCAGCAACGGAUCUCUUGGCUCUCGCAUCGAUGAAGAACGCAGCGAAAUGCGAUAAGUAAUGUGAAUUGCAGAAUUCAGUGAAUCAUCGAUCUUGA